CAGCAGCCACGGUAAAACGUAGGUCCCGAGCGUUGUCCGGAUUUAUUGGGCGUAAAGCGAGCGCAGGCGGUUAGAUAAGUCUGAAGUUAAAGGCUGUGGCUUAACCAUAGUACGCUUUGGAAACUGUUUAACUUGAGUGCAAGAGGGGAGAGUGGAAUUCCAUGUGUAGCGGUGAAAUGCGUAGAUAUAUGGAGGAACACCGGUGGCGAAAGCGGCUCUCUGGCUUGUAACUGACGCUGAGGCUCGAAAGCGUGGGGAGCAAACAGGAUUAGAGACCCCAGUAGUCCCUGUCUCUUAUACC
Molecule: ribosomal RNA, 301 nt
Filed under: uncultured bacterium
Lineage: Bacteria
Description: partial 16S ribosomal RNA
Rfam family: Bacterial small subunit ribosomal RNA
Source: RNAcentral